UGCGAUUUUGGGUGCGGUUUUGGU
Molecule: non-coding RNA, 24 nt
Filed under: Arabidopsis thaliana (thale cress)
Lineage: Eukaryota; Viridiplantae; Streptophyta; Magnoliopsida; Brassicales; Brassicaceae
Source: RNAcentral